AAUGAACGUUGGCGGCGUGGAUUAGGCAUGCAAGUCGAACGCUUUAUGUAGCAAUACAUGAAGAGUGGCGUAAGGGAGAGUAAUACACAGUUAGCUACCCUUGGGUCUGGGAUAGCGGCGGGAAACUGCCAGUAAUACCAGAUGAUGUCUUCGGACCAAAGGUGUAAUUUCGCCCGAGGAGGUGACUGUGUCCUAUCAGCUAGUUGGCGGGGUAACGGCCACCAAGGCUAAGACGGGUAUGGGGCGUGAGAGCGUGCCCCCACCUC
This 266-nucleotide ribosomal RNA is filed under the name uncultured bacterium. RNAcentral describes it as "partial 16S ribosomal RNA". It matches the Rfam family "Bacterial small subunit ribosomal RNA", at positions 29 to 311 of the family's 1533-position model. The record is from RNAcentral.